Molecule: non-coding RNA, 27 nt
Filed under: Homo sapiens (human)
Lineage: Eukaryota; Metazoa; Chordata; Mammalia; Primates; Hominidae
Source: RNAcentral
AUGGACUUUCCAUAAACUCAGGAUGGC